AACUUUUAACAACGGAUCUCUAGGCUCUCGUAUCGAUGAAGAACGUAACAAAGUGCGAUAACUAAUGUGAAUUGCCUUAAAGUGGAUCAUCGAGUUUUUGAACGCAACUUGCGCCGAAUGGUACUCCAUUCGGCACGCUUGUUUCAGUA
This 149-nucleotide ribosomal RNA is filed under the name Mucor microsporus. RNAcentral describes it as "5.8S ribosomal RNA". It matches the Rfam family "5.8S ribosomal RNA". Rfam says of the family: 5.8S ribosomal RNA (5.8S rRNA) is a component of the large subunit of the eukaryotic ribosome. Lineage: Eukaryota; Fungi; Mucoromycota; Mucoromycetes; Mucorales; Mucoraceae. The record is from RNAcentral.